Molecule: small nuclear RNA, 107 nt
Organism: Cavia porcellus (domestic guinea pig)
Lineage: Eukaryota; Metazoa; Chordata; Mammalia; Rodentia; Caviidae
Source: Ensembl
GUGCUCGCUUCAGCGGCACAUAUACUAAAAUUGGAACGAUACAGAGAAGAUUUGAAUGGCCCCUGUGCAAGGAUGACACUCAAAUUUGUGAAGUGUUCCAUAUUUUU